GCUUAACACAUGCAAGUCGAACGGCAGCACAGGGUAGCUUGCUAUCCGGGUGGCGAGUGGCGGACGGGUGAGUAACGCGUAGGAAUCUACCUUAUCGUGGGGGAUAACCCGGGGAAACCCGGGCUAAUACCGCAUACGCCCUACGGGGGAAAGCGGGGGACCUUCGGGCCUCGCGCGGAAAGAUGAGCCUGCGUCCUAUCAGGUAGUUGGUGAGGUAAUGGCUCACCAAGCCAACGACGGGUAGCUGGUCUGAGAGGACGACCAGCCACACUGGGACUGAGACACGGCCCAGACUCCUACGGGAGGCAGCAGUGGGGAAUAUUGGACAAUGGGGGCAACCCUGAUCCAGCAAUACCGCGUGUGUGAAGAAGGCCUUCGGGUUGUAAAGCACUUUUAGCAGGAAAGAAAGCCUGUGCGCUAAUACCGCAUGGUUUUGACGUUACCUGCAGAAAAAGCACCGGCUAACUCCGUGCCAGCAGGCGCGGUAAUAC
RNAcentral lists this ribosomal RNA (491 nucleotides) under uncultured Gammaproteobacteria bacterium. RNAcentral describes it as "bacterial SSU rRNA". It matches the Rfam family "Bacterial small subunit ribosomal RNA", at positions 46 to 526 of the family's 1533-position model. Lineage: Bacteria; Pseudomonadati; Pseudomonadota; Gammaproteobacteria. The record is from RNAcentral.